RNAcentral lists this long non-coding RNA (797 nucleotides) under Anser cygnoides (Swan goose). Its description in RNAcentral is "lncRNA (ENSACDG00005015022.1)". The record is from RNAcentral. Lineage: Eukaryota; Metazoa; Chordata; Aves; Anseriformes; Anatidae.
GGAGGCGCAGCGGGCAUGCGCCGGCCGAGCCGCUGACUGAAACCCCAGGCGAGGUACCGAGGCAAAAAAAAAAAAAAAAAAAAAGGAAAAAUAAAUAAAAAUAAUCCUAAAGGAAUGAGAGAGAGAAGAACGGAACGCGGCGGAGGAAAGCGAAAAGGGGUUUAAAAAAGGGAUAAAGCGGCGCUGGAGGAGCAGCUGUGGCAUGUGGGCACCGCCGGCACCAACAGAUAUUUUGAUGGCAUGACAAAUCAGAAAGAAGAGGAUGUACUGUAUGACUAGACACCAGAUCAGUUCUGUUUGUGGAUUACAUUUUCAGUAAGAUGAAAAUGAAGCCAGUCCAGUUUGUUGCAGCAGUGAGCCAGAACUGGACUUUCCAUGGUCCUGGAGCGAGCGGUCAAGCGGCUGCUAAUUGGCUGGCUGGAUUUGGAAGGGGUCCCACACCGCCAACCUUGUUGGGAAUCAGGCAAAACGCGAACACCACAGGCAGGAGAAGGCUACUGGUUUUAGACGAGUUCAAAAUGGAGAAGAGAAUCAGCAGAAUGUUCUACAUCAUGACAUUCCUCUUUCUGACCUUGUGGGGUCCCUAUUUGGUAGCCUGUUACUGGAGAGUUUUUGCAAGAGGGCCUGUAGUACCAGGGGGAUUUCUAACGGCCGCUGUCUGGAUGAGUUUUGCCCAAGCUGGAAUCAAUCCUUUUGUCUGCAUUUUCUCCAACAGGGAGCUGAGGCGCUGUUUCAGCACAACCCUUCUUUACUGCAGAAAAUCCAGGUUACCAAGGGAACCUUACUGUGUUAUAUGA